UACCAUGCAGUCGAGCGAGACCUUCGGGUCUAGCGGCGGACGGGUUAGUAACGCGUGGGAACGUGCCCUUCUCUGCGGAAUAGCCACUGGAAACGGUGAGUAAUACCGCAUACGCCCUUCGGGGGAAAGAUUUAUCGGAGAAGGAUCGGCCCGCGUUAGAUUAGAUAGUCGGUGGGGUAACGGCCUACCAAGUCUACGAUCUAUAGCUGGUUUUAGAGGAUGAUCAGCAACACUGGGACUGAGACACGGCCCAGACUCCUACGGGAGGCAGCAGUGGGGAAUCUUAGACAAUGGGCGCAAGCCUGAUCUAGCCAUGCCGCGUGUGUGAUGAAGGUCUUAGGAUCGUAAAGCACUUUCGCCAGGGAUGAUAAUGACAGUACCUGGUAAAGAAACCCCGGCUAACUCCGUGCCAGCAGCCGCGGUAA
This 425-nucleotide ribosomal RNA is filed under the name uncultured Sulfitobacter sp. RNAcentral describes it as "bacterial SSU rRNA". It matches the Rfam family "Bacterial small subunit ribosomal RNA", at positions 52 to 523 of the family's 1533-position model. Lineage: Bacteria; Pseudomonadati; Pseudomonadota; Alphaproteobacteria; Rhodobacterales; Roseobacteraceae. The record is from RNAcentral.